AUUGAACGCUGGCGGCAGGCCUAACACAUGCAAGUCGAGCGCGAAAGGUUUUCGGACUGAGUAAAGCGGCGGACGGGUGAGUAAUGCAUGGGAAUCUGCCUGGUAGUGGGGGACAACGUUUCGAAAGAGACGCUAAUACCGCAUACGCCCUACGGGGAAGGGGGGAGUCUUCGGACCUCUCGCUAUCAGAUGAGCCCAUGUCAGAUUAGCUUGUUGGUGAGGUAAAGGCUCACCAAGGCGACGAUCUGUAACUGGUCUGAGAGGAUGAGCAGUCACACUGGAACUGAGACACGGUCCAGACUCCUACGGGAGGCAGCAGUGGGGAAUAUUGGACAAUGGGGGGCAACCCUGAUCCAGCCAUGCCGCGUGUGUGAAGAAGGCCUUAGGGUUGUAAAGCACUUUCAGUGGGGAGAAAGGUAAUUCACCUAAUACGUGAGUUAAUUGAUGUUACCCACAGAAGAAGCACCGGACUAACUCCGUGCCAGCAGCCGCGGUAAU
This 498-nucleotide ribosomal RNA is filed under the name uncultured bacterium. RNAcentral describes it as "bacterial SSU rRNA". It matches the Rfam family "Bacterial small subunit ribosomal RNA", at positions 30 to 524 of the family's 1533-position model. The record is from RNAcentral.